GAUGAAGAACGGUAGCGAAAUGCGAUAAGUAAUGUGAAUUGCAGAAUUCAGUGAAUCAUCGAAUCUUUGAACGCACAUUGCGCCCCUUGGUAUUCCGAGGGGCAUGCCUGUUCGAGCGUCAUUAUAACCCCUCAAGCUCAGCUUGGUGUUGGGGCCUGCUGCACUGGCAGCCCUUAAAAUCAGUGGCGGCGCCAUCUGGCUCUAAGCGUAGUAAUUCUUCUCGCUAUGGAGUCCUGGUGGAUGCUUGCCAUCAACCCCCAAUUUUUCUAUGGUUGACCUCGGAUCAGGUAGGGAUACCCGCUGAACUUAAGCAUAUCAAUAAGCGGAGGA
Molecule: unclassified non-coding RNA, 330 nt
Filed under: soil metagenome
Description: partial contains 5.8S ribosomal RNA, internal transcribed spacer 2, and large subunit ribosomal RNA
Rfam family: 5.8S ribosomal RNA (bases 1-121)
Source: RNAcentral